Molecule: ribosomal RNA, 701 nt
Filed under: Mucilaginibacter sp. Z4_95_3
Lineage: Bacteria; Pseudomonadati; Bacteroidota; Sphingobacteriia; Sphingobacteriales; Sphingobacteriaceae
Description: bacterial SSU rRNA
Rfam family: Bacterial small subunit ribosomal RNA
Source: RNAcentral
UGGGAGCUUGCUUCCAAUGAGAGUGGCGCACGGGUGCGUAACACGUAUGUAACCUACCUUAAUCUGGGGGAUAGCCUCUCGAAAGAGAGAUUAACACCGCAUAACAUCACGAUAUAGCAUUUUAUUGUGAUCAAAUAUUUAUAGGAUUAAGAUGGGCAUGCGGAACAUUAGCUAGUUGGUAAGGUAAUGGCUUACCAAGGCUACGAUGUUUAGGGGAUCUGAGAGGAUGACCCCCCACACUGGUACUGAGACACGGACCAGACUCCUACGGGAGGCAGCAGUAAGGAAUAUUGGUCAAUGGGCGCAAGCCUGAACCAGCCAUGCCGCGUGCAGGAAGACGGCCCUACGGGUUGUAAACUGCUUUUGUACCGGAAUAAACUUUGAUACGUGUAUCAAGCUGAAUGUACGGUAAGAAUAAGGAUCGGCUAACUCCGUGCCAGCAGCCGCGGUAAUACGGAGGAUCCAAGCGUUAUCCGGAUUUAUUGGGUUUAAAGGGUGCGUAGGCGGUUCUUUAAGUCAGGGGUGAAAGACGGUAGCUUAACUAUCGCAGUGCCUUUGAUACUGAAGAACUUGAAUACACUUGAGGUAGGCGGAAUGUGACAAGUAGCGGUGAAAUGCAUAGAUAUGUCACAGAACACCAAUUGCGAAGGCAGCUUACUAAAGUGUCAUUGACGCUGAGGCACGAAAGCGUGGGGAUCAAA